RNAcentral lists this ribosomal RNA (460 nucleotides) under uncultured bacterium. Its description in RNAcentral is "partial 16S ribosomal RNA". It matches the Rfam family "Bacterial small subunit ribosomal RNA", at positions 338 to 795 of the family's 1533-position model. The record is from RNAcentral.
CCUACGGGUGGCAGCAGUGAGGAAUAUUGGUCAAUGGGCGCAAGCCUGAACCAGCCAAGUCGCGUGAGGGAUGACUGCCCUCUGGGUUGUAAACCUCUUUUAUAAGGGAAUAAUGUCAGCCACGUGUUCCAUUUUGCAUGUACCUUAUGAAUAAGCAUCGGCUAACUCCGUGCCAGCAGCCGCGGUAAUACGGAGGAUCCGAUCGUUAUCCGGAUUUAUUGGGUUUAAAGGGUGCGUAGGUGGGUUGUUAAGUCAGGUGGGAAAGUUUGUGGCAUAAACUUAGAAUUGCAAUUGAUACUGGCAGACUUGAGUGCAGAUGAGGUAGGCGGAAUACGUGGUGUAGCGGUGAAAUGCUUAGAUAUCACGAAGAACUCCGAUUGCGAAGGCAGCUUACUAGACUGCGACUGACGCUGAUGCUCGAGAGUGUGGGUAGCAAACAGGAUUAGAUACCCGAGUAGUC